This 405-nucleotide ribosomal RNA is filed under the name uncultured Gammaproteobacteria bacterium. Its description in RNAcentral is "bacterial SSU rRNA". It matches the Rfam family "Bacterial small subunit ribosomal RNA", at positions 9 to 415 of the family's 1533-position model. The record is from RNAcentral. Lineage: Bacteria; Pseudomonadati; Pseudomonadota; Gammaproteobacteria.
GAGUUUGAUCAUGGCUCAGAGUGAACGCUGGCGGCAGGCCUAACACAUGCAAGUCGAGCGGCAGCGCGGGGGCAACCCUGGCGGCGAGCGGCGGACGGGUGAGGAAUGCAUCGGAAUCUACCUCGUUGUGGGGGAUAACCUCGGGAAACCGGGACUAAUACCGCAUACGACCUACGGGUGAAAGUGGGGGACCGCAAGGCCUCACGCGAUGAGAUGAGCCGAUGCCGGAUUAGCUAGUUGGCGGGUAAAGGCCCACAAGGCGACGAUCCGUAGCUGGUCUGAGAGGAUGAUCAGCCACACUGGAAACUGAGACACGGUCCAGACUCCUACGGGAGGCAGCAGUGGGGAAUAUUGGACAAAUGGGCGCAAGCCUGAUCCAGCCAAUGCCGCGUGUGUGAAGAAAGG